RNAcentral lists this long non-coding RNA (1361 nucleotides) under Homo sapiens (human). RNAcentral describes it as "HSALNT0291827". The record is from RNAcentral. Lineage: Eukaryota; Metazoa; Chordata; Mammalia; Primates; Hominidae.
UCUUCCUCCUCCUACAUCGAUGUUUGCUUUGGCUGCUUGGCAUGGAGAGAGGGACCCAGUUCCUCAGGCCUGUACUCUGGUGACAGGGCACAGAGGGUGCUAGGUGAUGUCAGCAGCUGACAACUGCUCCUGCUGUCAUCCUGGUUUCCCUUCCCUGCUCACUGCACUCCAGAGCCCCAGGGGGCUCUCCAUGCUCUAGGUACUCCAGGCCCUAAGCAGUGGCUCAGUGUGCGGCUGCUGGUGUCUCAGGGCUCCACCAGCUGGAGGCACUUCUAUCUCUGGGCCUCCGAUGGCUUUCAUGGCCAAGGAGUAGGGCAAAGGGUAGAUGGACUGGGCUGCUUUUCAGCAGGGACUGGUCGUAAGAUGACAUGAGACCAGCCCUGCCUGGGUCUGGCCUGAAUCACAGUGCGCUCUGCCCAGCUGUGUAUGAACUGGCCAAGCUGGGAACUGGUUUGUUUCAAUCUAACUGCAACCUGUUCCCAUUCCAGUAUUUUAAUUAUGGCAAUAAAGAAAUGUGAACAUAAAAAGGUACGUGCUUUAUAAAUGUGAUUCUGAUGUUCCCUUUUGAUACUAAUUCACAUUAAUUGCCUCAGAUGAUACUGAUACCCAAACAGAAAUCUGGCAGAAGAAUCCCGACUGGCAGUCCUGAUAACGUGCCUGUGUGGAGGCGGCAGUAAUGGGGUCAGGCUCUCUGAACAGCCUAUGAAGGAUCCAGGGAGGUGGGUGUGAGGCGCUUAUUAAACCAGAGUGAGGCCAGCUCUGGGACGUUGUGGCUAACUUGGGACACAAGAGAUAAGGGUAGGGACCUGAGGCACCAGAAAAAUCAGAUGAGGCGUGGCCACGAGAUAUGGGUAGCAGAAUACAAAGGAGCAAAACAAAGUCAGGUGAAAUGAGAGUUGGGAAUGGAAGAGAGAAGGGAAAGUGGCUCAGGAGAGUCACAAGCACCUCUUCGGCAAAGCCCACCUCCCUCUCUCGCUUGAUUCCCCGGCCAUCCUUAUCAAAGACCUUCCAGGUGAACAGGCAGCCAUCCUCAGCAGCAGUCAGCAGGAACUGAUCAUCAAAGAAACUUGCAAAAAUAGCACAGAGAGAGUGGACUUCUGGAAUGGCACGGCAACAAAAUUCCCUACGGCAGCACCCAAAGGCUUGAAAUUAGCCAUUCCAAGUGUGUCCAAAAAACUAAAGGAAACCAUGAUUAAACAAGUAAAGGUAGAAAUGAUAUGCAUCAAAUAGAGAAGAAUAAAAGGAUCCCAUCAAUAUAGGGAUAGAACUGUAAGAAAAUAGAAAUUCUAGAGUUAAAAACUACAAUAACUGAAAUGAAAAAUCCACUAGAGGUGCUCAAGAAUAGAUCUGAACUGGCAGAA